UGGGUGAUCUGCCCUGCACUUUGGGAUAAGCCUGGGAAACUGGGUCUAAUACCGAAUACACCCUUCUGAUCGCAUGGUUGGUGGGGGAAAGCUUUUGCGGUGUGGGAUGGGCCCGCGGCCUAUCAGCUUGUUGGUGGGGUGAUGGCCUACCAAGGCGACGACGGGUAGCCGGCCUGAGAGGGCGUCCGGCCACACUGGGGCUGAGACGCGGCCCAGACUCCUACGGGAGGCA
RNAcentral lists this ribosomal RNA (232 nucleotides) under uncultured bacterium. Its description in RNAcentral is "partial 16S ribosomal RNA". It matches the Rfam family "Bacterial small subunit ribosomal RNA", at positions 118 to 350 of the family's 1533-position model. The record is from RNAcentral.